RNAcentral lists this long non-coding RNA (948 nucleotides) under Camelus dromedarius (Arabian camel). Its description in RNAcentral is "lncRNA (ENSCDRG00005021058.1)". Lineage: Eukaryota; Metazoa; Chordata; Mammalia; Artiodactyla; Camelidae. The record is from RNAcentral.
CCAAUAUCCCUACUUUGGCAUAACACAGGUUUUGUUUUACCUGGACAGGGACAGUAUGGAUCCUCUGGAACUAUAAUGGAUGUGCGAGUGAGCAGCCUGGCAAGAAUCAUUUUCAAGCACCCAGCUUCCCAGUGCCAGGUGAGGUGAUCUGGAAGAACACAUCUGAGUCGCUAUGCAGAGUCACCCUGAACAUUAUUGCAUGUGUCUGCUUGAUAACCAGACAGCGUCUUGCUUGUUCACCUUUAACCUGGAGGCCCAGACAUGCUCCUUUUCUUUCAUUACCCAGGGGCCUCUCCCAUCAACAGCCUAUGGCUAUGAAUUCUUUAUCCCUGUGAGCUUGGCUGCCAUAUGUGAUUCGGACAGAAGAUGGAGAGAAGCCCCAGGCUGCGGUGGCAGGUGUGCGCUUCCAGGGAGUACGGUGUUUGAAGCCGGAGGGACUGCUGUGGCCUGUGUUUUCAGGACAGCAAGCCUGCGUCCUGGGUGGCACUGGAGGAUGGAGACAAGCAGGAAGGAGACCACAUGCUUGUUGUUCAAGGAUCCUGUUCAUGGGCCCGAGGAGCUCUGCCAUUAAGCAGUGAGCUUCCUGCCUCCUUCUCACUGUCUACGUUGGACAUGACUGAAGUAGAAGCUUCUGGAAGCAGAUGGAAGGUAAGUCCCAGCUGAGAAAUGGUUUAUUCUGAUUUACUCCUAUUACUCAGAACAGGAUUCCAACAGAGGAGCUAAUCCUUGGCAUGCCCCCUGCCCCUGGCUCCCUCUCCCACGUGCUCUGUCCCUCAUGUGGACUGGAUUUAAAGAUAGCUUUCAAAUACGACUUUAGGUUUCCAGACUCCCUGCAGAGUUCUCAGCUGCACAUUAUCUGGCAUGUGAUCUGGGUCAUCAGUGUGCUUGUGCUCCCUCAAAAUAUAUAAGCAGAGGUGCCUUCCUCCCACCUUCAGAAGCGCUGGCACU